This 495-nucleotide ribosomal RNA is filed under the name uncultured bacterium. RNAcentral's name for it is "partial 16S ribosomal RNA". It matches the Rfam family "Bacterial small subunit ribosomal RNA", at positions 28 to 507 of the family's 1533-position model. The record is from RNAcentral.
GACGAACGCUGGCGGCGUGCCUAAUACAUGCAAGUCGAACGCUGAAGGCGGAACUUUUCUUUCUGGACGAGUUGCGCAAGGGUGAGUAACGCGUAGGUAACAUGCCUUGCAGCUGGGGUUAACUAUUCGAAACGACAGAUAAUACCGCAUAACAGUAGAUGUUGCAUGUCUUUUACUAAAAAGGUUCAAUUGCAUUCCAACAUGAUGGACUUGCGUUGUAUUUGCCAGUUGGUGGGUUAACGCCUCACUAAGGCGACGAUACAUAGUCGACCGGAGUGGGGGAGCGGCCACUCUGGGACUGAGACACGGCCCAGACACCCUCGGGAGGCAGCAGUAGGGAAGCUUCGGCAAUGGACGGAAGUCUGACCGAGCAACGCCGCGUGUGUGAAGAAGGUUUUCGGAUCGUAAAGCUCUGUUGUAAGGGAAGAACGAGUGUGAGAAUGGAAAGUUCACGCUGUGACGGUAUCUUACCAGAAAGGGACGGCUAACUACGUG